Caenorhabditis elegans is the source of this 21-nucleotide non-coding RNA. The record is from Ensembl. NCBI's taxonomy places the organism in Eukaryota, Metazoa, Nematoda, Chromadorea, Rhabditida, Rhabditidae.
UUUGAUCGGUUUUUCAAUUCU